CGAACGGGUGAGUAACGCGUGAGGAACCUGCCUCAAAGAGGGGGACAACAGUUGGAAACGACUGCUAAUACCGCAUAAGCCCACGGAUCGGCAUCGACCAGAGGGAAAAGGAGCAAUCCGCUUUGAGAUGGCCCCGCGUCCGAUUAGCUAGUUGGUGAGGUAACGGCCCACCAAGGCAACGAUCGGUAGCCGGACUGAGAGGUUGAACGGCCACAUUGGGACUGAGACACGGCCCAG
RNAcentral lists this ribosomal RNA (237 nucleotides) under uncultured bacterium. Its description in RNAcentral is "partial 16S ribosomal RNA". It matches the Rfam family "Bacterial small subunit ribosomal RNA", at positions 99 to 334 of the family's 1533-position model. The record is from RNAcentral.